AGCUCUGCUGCUCACUGGCAGU
RNAcentral lists this microRNA (22 nucleotides) under Homo sapiens (human). RNAcentral describes it as "hsa-miR-3194-3p". Lineage: Eukaryota; Metazoa; Chordata; Mammalia; Primates; Hominidae. The record is from miRBase by way of RNAcentral.